AACGAACGCUGGCGGCAUGCCUAACACAUGCAAGUCGAACGAGACCUUCGGGUCUAGUGGCGCACGGGUGCGUAACGCGUGGGAACCUUCCCUUAGGUUCGGAAUAACUCCCCGAAAGGGGUGCUAAUACCGGAUAAUGUCUUCGGACCAAAGAUUUAUCGCCUUUGGAUGGGCCCGCGUUGGAUUAGCUAGUUGGUAGGGUAAAAGCCUACCAAGGCGACGAUCCAUAGCUGGUCUGAGAGGAUGAUCAGCCACACUGGGACUGAGACACGGCCCAGACUCCUACGGGAGGCAGCAGUGGGGAAUAUUGGACAAUGGGCGAAAGCCUGAUCCAGCAAUGCCGCGUGAGUGAUGAAGGCCUUAGGGUUGUAAAGCUCUUUUACCCGGGAUGAUAAUGACAGUACCGGGAGAAUAAGCGCCGGCUAACUCCGUG
This 433-nucleotide ribosomal RNA is filed under the name uncultured bacterium. Its description in RNAcentral is "partial 16S ribosomal RNA". It matches the Rfam family "Bacterial small subunit ribosomal RNA", at positions 29 to 507 of the family's 1533-position model. The record is from RNAcentral.